GGAGCACCUUUCUCAAGGACAAGAAAUGGUAGCAACCAAAAGGUUGGUUGAAGGAAACAAUCCUUCCUUCUGGUGGUGUGAUCCUGGCUUCCUCACAGAGCCCUUUUUUCCUUCUGCCCAGCUCCAUCCCACCAGAAUUUCUACACCCACUGAGGCAUCUCCUGGGCACAGACCACCACACUCUAAGCCGGCUCACCUGGGAGUUAGGGUCCUGCCCACCUGGAGUUUAGCACGCUGGUCGCUCACUUUGCUUUGAUC
Molecule: small RNA, 258 nt
Filed under: Pongo abelii (Sumatran orangutan)
Lineage: Eukaryota; Metazoa; Chordata; Mammalia; Primates; Hominidae
Description: processed transcript
Source: RNAcentral